This is a long non-coding RNA of Cydia strobilella, 2092 nucleotides long. RefSeq lists it as uncharacterized. Lineage: Eukaryota; Metazoa; Arthropoda; Insecta; Lepidoptera; Tortricidae. The record is from RefSeq and is a predicted model, not a curated record. The transcript has 3 exons.
UGCUCGAGUAACACAAAAAAUUGUUAAUUAAAUUUAAUAUGCCGUAUUGUGCAGUAUUAAGCUGUAGAAAUCACAGCGGAUUGAAAAAUCUUUCUCGUGGAGGUAUUUCCUAUCACCGGUUUCCUAAUGAUCCUGAGAUUAAAAAUAAAUGGAUCGAUGCUACUGGGCAAGUAAAUUGGUUUCCGCAAAAAUAUAGCACCAUUUGCUCCGAGCAUUUCUUAGAGGAAGAUUUCUGGAUGUCCCCGAAAGGAAACCGAUACAUUUUAGCUGAGGCAUUUCCUGUGCAAAAGAUUGUGUGUAACGUAAGCUGCACAGAGAUUACAGAAUCACAAGCUCCUUCAAGUUCGACCAAUCGUCCAUCUACACCCACAGAAACAAAAGAAGGAUCAGAUUCUGAAACUGUUAAUAAUUCAGAAUCGCCAUGCAGUUCAACGAGUUCAACGGUUUUAUCCCCACGUGAACGAAAACUAAAAAGUAACUUAAAAAAGGCCGAACUAAAAUUAAAGAGCCAUGUAAAAACAAUAAAACUACUCCAGGCUCAGAAUCGCCGCCUCAAAAGAAAGAUUAGUACUCUAGCAGACGCCUUAUUAGACAAAUCUGUCCGUUAAGUUAAGACACAAAUUUGCAUUAAGUUAUGAAAAUAUAACAUCUUGAAAAUACUAAUAUCGAGGUAAUUUCCGUCAUCCCGCUUUUCAUUAUUUUGACUGGUGGUAAAAACUUUCUACUUUCAAAAAAUAUUUGUUGGUCCGAUAUGCGUCUUUUUCAAGUAGGUAAUAUAAUUAGUAUAAUUACAAUAACGUUGCAACUAAGCAUGUUAUGUCACUUAUGUCAGACUCGUGGCCAAGGGCCAAAGCCCAAAUCCCAUGGACACCUGCAACACCAGAGGGGUUGUAAGUGCGGACUUUAAGAUGGGUAUACGCUCUUUUCUUCAAGGUUUGAAGAUCGUACGUACUUUAUGUGAUAAUACCACAUUUAUUAUACAUAAUCUUGUAGUAGGUAAUCUUUCGUUGCCAUUAUAGCUAACCUUAUAUAUUCAUUCAUGUUUAAUUGCAGGUCAAGGAAUCAAUAUCGCGCGUCAAGCGUAUCAUUUUCUUAGUGAAUGAAGUUAUGUGACAUUGGCAUUAAAGUUGUCGCCCUAGAUGAUCAGCAAGCGCAGUAAAUGUAUCUUUUUCAGCAAAACUUGGUUGUUGUUUUUAAAGUAAUGAUGUAAAAUUUAUACAGCCUGUAACUAAAGAUAGGUAACGUAGUCGCAGUUUUAGUUCCAUGCCGCAUGAUUAAACUACUGCGGAAUGCCUUUAAGUCAUAUGAUAUCAAACAUUUGUCAAAGAGGAUGGAAAAAAUACAGUGGCAGUUAAAGACGAGUAAUUGCAGAAAAUCACAUAAUAACAAUAAUACCGAGUUAAUACACGUUAAAGAAUUAUGAUUGGUGGGCCGAGUCAAGUAUUUUAUCUAUUUUACCGUAAGAUAUAAUAUACACCAUUUUUUUUAACCUUUAACUUCGGGGUAUGGCUAACUACAUUUAAGGAAACUAAAUGUUUUUUUUUACUCAAAAGUAAUUGAUAGCGUUGUUGUAACACGGACAUUAUAUUGAAAUCCACCAAACAAUUGAAAACUAUGACAUAUCAAUGACAUUUCGAAUAUCGGUCAUCCGAGAUGGUACGGUCAGCUGCAGAGAAAAGGUGCCACGAUGCAUACAAACUUCUAUCGUUUAGUAGCAAGUAGCAAAUGUAUAAAGUCAUACUAAACACUAACCAAUAUGUAAACAGGCCCUAAGGCAAGUGUACACGCUCGUAGGGGUCUUAUCAGAUAAAAAUAAAACCGGCCAAGUGCGAGUCGGACUCGCGUUCCAAGGGUUCCGUAUAUUACACAAUUUAAACAAUGUAUUUUGUAUGUGAAACGUGAGUGAAAUGUCUUUAAAAAACCCGUAGGGGUCGGAUCAAAAACUAAGUAAUUAAGUCCGACUCACGCUAGACUGCGAUUUCUAAUAGGUUUUCCUGUAUUCUAUAGGUUGUUAUCUAUUUUGUUUAUUUUUUUUUCAAAAUUUAAGACCUUGUAGUUUCGGAGAUAAAGGGGGGGGGGGAAUGGUCAUUUU